GUAUUAUUAUCAUCAUCAUAUAUAACAUAUAGUUCAUGCUUUGGCAAUAUUGUACUUACAGUCAAUAAAGACAAUGGCAAUAAAGUCAAUAAACGCCAAUAAAGCUCAUUGAAUUGGAUUGAGAUGUCGAUGAGUGGAGAGGGAGAGACAAAGAGAGAGAGAGAGGGAGAGGGAGAGGUGGAGAGACAGAGAGAGGUGGAGAGGGAGAGAGAGAGAGGUGGAGAGACAGAGAGUGAGAGAGAGUGAGAGAGGUGGAGAGACAGAGAGAGGUGGAGAGGGAGAGGGGGGUGUAGAGGGAGAGAGAGGUGGAGAGAGAGAGAGGUGUAGAGGGAGAGAGAGGGGGAGACAGAGAGAGGGAGAGAGACAGAGAGAGGUGGAGAGACAGAGAGAGGUGGAGAGGGAGAGAGAGAGGUGGAGAGACAGAGAGAGAGGUGGAGAGAGAUAGAGGGGUGUAGAGGGAGAGAGAGGGGGAGAGACAGAGAGAGAGGGGGGGAGAGACAGAGAG
This is a long non-coding RNA of Clupea harengus (Atlantic herring), 505 nucleotides long. The record is from Ensembl. Lineage: Eukaryota; Metazoa; Chordata; Actinopteri; Clupeiformes; Clupeidae.